AGAGUUUGAUCCUGGCUCAGGAUGAACGCUGACAGAAUGCUUAACACAUGCAAGUCAACUUGAAUUGGGUUUUUAACUUAGAUUUGGGUGGCGGACGGGUGAGUAACGCGUAAAGAACUUGCCUCACAGCUAGGGACAACAUUUGGAAACGAAUGCUAAUACCUGAUAUUAUGAUUUUAAGGCAUCUUAGAAUUAUGAAAGCUAUACGCGCUGUGAGAGAGCUUUGCGUCCCAUUAGCUAGUUGGAGAGGUAACGGCUCACCAAGGCGAUGAUGGGUAGCCGGCCUGAGAGGGUGAACGGCCACAAGGGGACUGAGACACGGCCCUUACUCCUACGGGAGGCAGCAGUGGGGAAUAUUGGACAAUGGACCAAGAGUCUGAUCCAGCAAUUCUGUGUGCACGAUGACGUUUUUCGGAAUGUAAAGUGCUUUCAGUUGGGAAGAAAAAAUGACGGUACCAACAGAAGAAGUGACGGCUAAAUACGUG
Molecule: ribosomal RNA, 485 nt
Filed under: uncultured Fusobacterium sp.
Lineage: Bacteria; Fusobacteriati; Fusobacteriota; Fusobacteriia; Fusobacteriales; Fusobacteriaceae
Description: bacterial SSU rRNA
Rfam family: Bacterial small subunit ribosomal RNA
Source: RNAcentral